Molecule: long non-coding RNA, 338 nt
Organism: Bombus pascuorum
Lineage: Eukaryota; Metazoa; Arthropoda; Insecta; Hymenoptera; Apidae
Exons: 2
Source: RefSeq, a predicted model, not a curated record
CGAAUAUAAAAGCGCGAUAAACAGCCUCAGGAAAAUCCUGGCAGUGGGCAGAGCGAACCUACCAAGGAUCGGUAACGAACGAACAGCCAAUCACGAAGAUUUUUCUGACAAAGUUCGCAACCACAGAUUGGUUCCCGUGAUCGUUGUGGGCGGCGGUUUGGCGGGCAAGGUGGUGGCUUUGGUUUAUCAUCGCAACAACAUGGUCUACAAGGAUCCUAUAGAUAAUAUUUUUCUUGUGAAUAUUUCUAUAUUUGUAUUUAAAAAAACUGGCGCAAUAAUAAUUAAAUGAAAAUUAAAAUAUGAUUUAAAAAGUACGAAAGAAAGAAAGAAAAAGAGGA